Mustela putorius furo (domestic ferret) is the source of this 329-nucleotide unclassified non-coding RNA. Its record names the gene 7SK. It matches the Rfam family "7SK RNA". Rfam says of the family: 7SK was discovered as an abundant small nuclear RNA in the mid-70s but a possible function has only recently been suggested. Two independent studies have found that 7SK RNA binds the CDK9/cyclin T complex (known as elongation factor P-TEFb). The record is from Ensembl. Lineage: Eukaryota; Metazoa; Chordata; Mammalia; Carnivora; Mustelidae.
AGAUAUGAGCGUGAUCUGGCUGCAACAUCUGUCACCCCACUGAUUGCCAGGGUUGAUUUGGCUGAUCUGGCUGGUUAGGCAGGUGUCGCUCUCCUCCCUCACGCUCCAUGUGCAUCCCUCCCAAAGCUAUGUGCUCCAUUGAGGAUGACCUUUCCCGAUAGAGGAGAGGACCGUUCUUCCGUCAAGGGUAUACAAGUAGCUGCGCUCCCCUGCUAGAACCUCCAAACAAGCUCUCCAGGUCCAUUUGUAGGAAAACGUAGGGUAGUCGAAAUGCCAAGACUCCAGACACAUCCAACUGAGAAGCUGCACUUGGCAGUCUGCCUUUCUUU